AGCUUGCUAAGAAAACGCCUUUUUGAGGUCAAAGGAGGAAAAUUGACUCGCGGUUAUAAAUCGCAAGGUUGGGUAGUGGGAAUUUAUUCUGCGGCCAUAAACCACAGAGAAACGGCGUCAAUAAGCCUUUUGUUGCGAAGUCUGUUGAAUAAGCAGAAUACGAGAAAAGAGGUGUCUAAGGAGGCGUCUGAGGACAGUCGGGGGAUCCGCCUGUAAGACCAGGCCUGACAGGCAGGCCCCUCAAAACAUGGGCCCCUCGACAGGUGGGCCCCUCGACAGCUGCCCCCCCCCCCUUCACCCCGCCUCGUAGGGUGACCUCAGCCUCCUUACUGGUCGCAAAGGCAGCGUCACAGUUGGGUCCCGUUUCUCAGGCUGCGUGGAAAAAAGCUCAGCAAACCCUGUCCGUCGCAUCCCCUCGCUCGCUGUGAGCUGAAUUGAAAGUCUCUGAUAUAAACAAGACAGUUUUCCAAGUUUAGGUCAUUUCCUGGAGGCUUCAAAGCUAAACUGAACA
Paramormyrops kingsleyae is the source of this 511-nucleotide non-coding RNA. NCBI's taxonomy places the organism in Eukaryota, Metazoa, Chordata, Actinopteri, Osteoglossiformes, Mormyridae. The record is from RefSeq and is a predicted model, not a curated record.